GCGUGUAUUCUACCUCGGGGACGUGGAUAGCCAUUCUAACGAGUGGCAAUACGCGGCGAUUUGGUUGAGGGCAUCCGUGGCCAGGAAAUGAAUUUCGCCUCGAGAGGAGCUCACGUGAUAUUAGCUUGUUGGUGAGGUAACGGCUCACCAAGGCAAAGAUGUCUAGCGGGUGUGAGAGUACGACCCGCGCCACUGGCACUGAGACACUGGCCAGACACCUACGGGUGGCUGCAGUCGAGGAUCUUUGGCAAUGGGCGCAAGCCUGACCAAGCGACGCCGCGUGUGCGAUGAAGGCCUUCGGGUUGUAAAGCACUGUCGAGGGGGACGAAGCCGAAAGGUUGACCGAUCCCUGGAGGAAGCUCGGGCUAAGUUCGUGCCAGCAGCCGCGGUAAGACGAACCGAGCGAACGUUGUUCGGAAUCACUGGGCUUAAAGGGCGCGUAGGCGGCUUGCCAAGUCCGGGGUGAAAUCCUGCAGCUUAACUGUAGAAGGGCCUUGGAUACUGGCGAGCUCGAGGGAGGUAGGGGUAUGUGGAACUUCCGGUGGAGCGGUGAAAUGCGUUGAUAUCGGAAGGAACGCCGGUGGCGAAAGCGACGUACUGGACCUCUUCUGACGCUGAGGCGCGAAAGCUAGGGGAGCAAACGGGAUUAGAUACCCCGGUAGUCCUAGCCCUAAACGAUGGGUACUAGAUUGUAGACUUAACAUGGGUUUACAAUCGAAGCAAAAGUGUUAAGUACCCCGCCUGGGGAGUAUGGUCGCAAGGCUGAAACUCAAAGGAAUUGACGGGGGCUCACACAAGCGGUGGAGCAUGUGGCUUAAUUCGAGGCUACGCGAAGAACCUUAUCCUAGGCUUGACAUGUUCGAAAGAGGUAGCAAGUAGGGAGCGGAAACGUUUCCCCAACGGUAUCCAGUCCGGAAGCUACUACAGGUGCUGCAUGGCUGUCGUCAGCUCGUGUCGUGAGAUGUCGGGUUAAGUCCCAUAACGAGCGAAACC
This 993-nucleotide ribosomal RNA is filed under the name uncultured bacterium. RNAcentral's name for it is "bacterial SSU rRNA". It matches the Rfam family "Bacterial small subunit ribosomal RNA", at positions 117 to 1103 of the family's 1533-position model. The record is from RNAcentral.